CUACGGGCCGCAGCAGUGGGGAAUAUUGCACAAUGGGCGCAAGCCUGAUGCAGCCAUGCCGCGUGUAUGAAGAAGGCCUUCGGGUUGUAAAGUACUUUCAGCGGGGAGGAAGGGAGUAAAGUUAGUACCUUUGCUCAUUGACGUUACCCGCAGAAGAAGCACCGGCUAACUCCGUGCCAGCAGCCGCGGUAAUACGGAGGGUGCAAGCGUUAAUCGGAAUUACUGGGCGUAAAGCGCACGCAGGCGAUUUGUUAAGACAGAUGUGAAAUCCCCGGGCUCAACCUGGGAACUGCAUCUGAUACUGGCAAGCUUGAGUCUCGUAGAGGGGGGUAGAAUUCCAGGUGUAGCGGUGAAAUGCGUAGAGAUCUGGAGGAAUACCGGUGGCGAAGGCGGCCCCCUGGACGAAGACUGACGCUCAGGUGCGAAAGCGUGGGGAGCAAACAGGAUUAGAUACCCCAGUAGUC
Molecule: ribosomal RNA, 464 nt
Filed under: uncultured bacterium
Lineage: Bacteria
Description: partial 16S ribosomal RNA
Rfam family: Bacterial small subunit ribosomal RNA
Source: RNAcentral